Molecule: ribosomal RNA, 200 nt
Filed under: uncultured Diversispora
Lineage: Eukaryota; Fungi; Glomeromycota; Glomeromycetes; Diversisporales; Diversisporaceae
Description: partial small subunit ribosomal RNA
Rfam family: Eukaryotic small subunit ribosomal RNA
Source: RNAcentral
CCAAUAGCGUAUAUUAAAGUUGUUGCAGUUAAAAAGCUCGUAGUUGAACCUCGGGGUCUACCCAUUGGUCAGGCUUAAUUGUCUGCACUGGUGAGAUGGAUCUCUACCUUCUGAGGAACUUUCAUGCCAUUUAUUUGGUGUGAUGGGAAAUCAGGACUGUUACUUUGAAAAAAUUAGAGUGUUUAAAGCAGACUAUCGUC